UACGUAGGCGGAAGAUUAAGUCAGUGGUGAAAUCCUGCAGCUUAACUGUAGAACUGUCAUUGAUACUGAUUUUCUUGAAUAUAGUUGAGGUAGGCGGAAUGUGUAAUGUAGCGGUGAAAUGCUUAGAUAUUACACAGAACACCGAUUGCGAAGGCAGCUUACUAAGCUAUUAUUGACGCUGAGGCACGAAAGCGUGGGGAGCGAACAGGAUUAGAUACCCUGGUAGUCC
RNAcentral lists this ribosomal RNA (229 nucleotides) under uncultured bacterium. RNAcentral describes it as "partial 16S ribosomal RNA". It matches the Rfam family "Bacterial small subunit ribosomal RNA", at positions 568 to 796 of the family's 1533-position model. The record is from RNAcentral.